This 452-nucleotide ribosomal RNA is filed under the name uncultured bacterium. RNAcentral's name for it is "bacterial SSU rRNA". It matches the Rfam family "Bacterial small subunit ribosomal RNA", at positions 917 to 1382 of the family's 1533-position model. The record is from RNAcentral.
GGGCCCGCACAAGCGGCGGAGCGUGCGGUUUAAUUCGACGCAACGCGCAGAACCUUACCAGGGCUUGACAUGCGACUGCAGAGCGGUGAAAGCCGAAGUCCUUCGAGGGUGUCGCACAGGUGCUGCAUGGCUGUCGUCAGCUCGUGUCGUGAGAUGUUGGGUUAAGUCCCGCAACGAGCGCAACCCUCGCCGCCAGUUACGUGGGUGUCUGGCGGGACUGCCGGUAGCAAGCCGGAGGAAGGCGGGGAUGAUGUCAAGUCAGCAUGGCCCUUACGUCCUGGGCUACACGCACGCUACAAUGGCGCGCACAGAGGGUAGCCAAACCGCGAGGUGGAGCGAAUCCCAAAAAGCGCGUCUCAGUUCAGAUUGUGGGCUGCAACUCGCCCGCAUGAAGGCGGAGUCGCUAGUAAACGCCGGUCAGCAAUACGGCGUUGAAUACGUUCCCGGGCCUU